AGAUUAAGUUAUUAAGGGCGCACGGUGGAUGCCUUGGCACUAGAAGCCGACGAAGGACGUUACUAACGACGAUAUGCUUUGGGGAGCUGUAAGUAAGCUUUGAUCCAGAGAUUUCCGAAUGGGGAAACCCAGCACGAGUUAUGUCGUGUUAUCGAUAUGUGAAUACAUAGCAUAUCUGAAGGCAGACGCGGAGAACUGAAACAUCUUAGUACCCGCAGGAAGAGAAAGAAAAAUCGAUUCCCUGAGUAGCGGCGAGCGAAACGGGAAGAGCCCAAACCAACGAGCUUGCUUGUUGGGGUUGUAGGACACUCUAUACGGAGUUACAAAAGAACAGACUAGACGAAUCAUCUGGAAAGAUGAAUCAAAGAAGGUAAUAAUCCUGUAGUCGAAAGUUUGUUCACUCUUGAGUGGAUCCUGAGUACGACGGAACACGAGAAAUUCCGUCGGAAUCUGGGAGGACCAUCUCCCAAGGCUAAAUACUCUCUAGUGACCGAUAGUGAACCAGUACCGUGAGGGAAAGGUGAAAAGUACCCCGGAAGGGGAGUGAAAUAGAACUUGAAACCGUGUGCUUACAAGUAGUCAGAGCCCGUUAAUGGGUGAUGGCGUGCCUUUUGUAGAAUGAACCGGCGAGUUACGAUUUGAUGCAAGGUUAAGCAGUGAAUGUGGAGCCGUAGCGAAAGCGAGUCUGAAUAGGGCGUUGAGUAUUUGGUCGUAGACCCGAAACCAGGUGAUCUACCCAUGACCAGGUUGAAGUUCAGGUAACACUGAAUGGAGGACCGAACCGACUUACGUUGAAAAGUGAGCGGAUGAGUUGUGGGUAGCGGAGAAAUUCCAAUCGAACCUGGAGAUAGCUGGUUCUCUCCGAAAUAGCUUUAGGGCUAGCCUCAAGUGAUGAUUAUUGGAGGUAGAGCACUGUUUGGACGAGGGGCCCUUAUCGGGUUACCGAAUUCAGACAAACUCCGAAUGCCAAUCAAUUUAACUUGGGAGUCAGAACGCGGGUGAUAAGGUCCGUGUUCGAAAGGGAAACAGCCCAGACCACCAGCUAAGGUCCCAAAAUAUAUGUUAAGUGGAAAAGGAUGUGGCGUUGCCCAGACAACUAGGAUGUUGGCUUAGAAGCAGCCAUCAUUUAAAGAGUGCGUAAUAGCUCACUAGUCGAGUGACACUGCGCCGAAAAUGUACCGGGGCUAAACAUAUUACCGAAGCUGUGGAUUGUCCGUAAGGACAAUGGUAGGAGAGCGUUCUAAGGGCGUUGAAGCAUGAUCGCAAGGACAUGUGGAGCGCUUAGAAGUGAGAAUGCCGGUGUGAGUAGCGAAAGACGGGUGAGAAUCCCGUCCACCGAUUGACUAAGGUUUCCAGAGGAAGGCUCGUCCGCUCUGGGUUAGUCGGGUCCUAAGCUGAGGCCGAUAGGCGUAGGCGAUGGAUAACAGGUUGAUAUUCCUGUACCACCAUUAUUCGUUUUAAGCGAUGGGGGGACGCAGUAGGAUAGGCGAAGCGUACGAUUGGAUUGUACGUCCAAGCAGUGAGAUUGAGUGUUAGGCAAAUCCGGCACUCUUAAGAUUGAGCUGUGAUGGGGAGAGGAAAUUGUUUCCUCGAGUCGUUGAUUUCACACUGCCAAGAAAAGCCUCUAGCUAGAAUUGUGGUGCCCGUACCGCAAACCGACACAGGUAGUCAAGAUGAGAAUUCUAAGGUGAGCGAGCGAACUCUCGUUAAGGAACUCGGCAAAAUGACCCCGUAACUUCGGGAGAAGGGGUGCUCUUUAGGGUUAACGCCCAGGAGAGCCGCAGUGAAUAGGCCCAAGCGACUGUUUAUCAAAAACACAGGUCUCUGCUAAACCGUAAGGUGAUGUAUAGGGGCUGACGCCUGCCCGGUGCUGGAAGGUUAAGAGGAGUGGUUAGCUUCUGCGAAGCUACGAAUCGAAGCCCCAGUAAACGGCGGCCGUAACUAUAACGGUCCUAAGGUAGCGAAAUUCCUUGUCGGGUAAGUUCCGACCCGCACGAAAGGCGUAACGAUUUGGGCACUGUCUCAACGAGAGACUCGGUGAAAUCAUAGUACCUGUGAAGAUGCAGGUUACCCGCGACAGGACGGAAAGACCCCGUGGAGCUUUACUGUAGUCUGAUAUUGAAAUUCGGCACAGCUUGUACAGGAUAGGUAGGAGCCUGAGAUACGUGAGCGCUAGCUUACGUGGAGGCGUUGGUGGGAUACUACCCUCGCUGUGUUGGAUUUCUAACCCGCACCAUUUAUCAUGGUGGGAGACAGUGUCAGAUGGGCAGUUUGACUGGGGCGGUCGCCUCCUAAAGAGUAACGGAGGCGCUCAAAGGUUUCCUCAGAAUGGUUGGAAAUCAUUCAUAGAGUGUAAAGGCAUAAGGAAGCUUGACUGCGAGACUUACAAGUCGAGCAGGGUCGAAAGACGGACUUAGUGAUCCGGUGGUUCCGCAUGGAAGGGCCAUCGCUCAACGGAUAAAAGCUACCCCGGGGAUAACAGGCUUAUCUCCCCAAGAGUUCACAUCGACGGGGAGGUUUGGCACCUCGAUGUCGGCUCAUCGCAUCCUGGGGCUGUAGUCGGUCCCAAGGGUUGGGCUGUUCGCCCAUUAAAGCGGUACGCGAGCUGGGUUCAGAACGUCGUGAGACAGUUCGGUCCCUAUCCGUCGUGGGCGUAGGAAAUUUGAGAGGAGCUGUCCUUAGUACGAGAGGACCGGGAUGGACAUACCUCUGGUGUACCAGUUGUCGUGCCAACGGCAUCGCUGGGUAGCUAUGUAUGGACGGGAUAAGUGCUGAAAGCAUCUAAGCAUGAAGCCCCCUCAAGAUGAGAUUUCCCAACUUCGGUUAUAAGAUCCUCAAAGAUGAUGAGGUUAAUAGGUUCGAGGUGGAAGCAUAGCGAUAUGUGCAGCUGACGAAUACUAAUCGAUCGAAGACUUAAUCAAAUUUUA
This 2927-nucleotide ribosomal RNA is filed under the name Staphylococcus saprophyticus. Its description in RNAcentral is "23S ribosomal RNA". It matches the Rfam family "Bacterial large subunit ribosomal RNA". The record is from RNAcentral. Lineage: Bacteria; Bacillati; Bacillota; Bacilli; Caryophanales; Staphylococcaceae.